AGAGUUUGAUCCUGGCUCAGGACGAACGCUGGCGGCGUGCCUAAUACAUGCAAGUCGAGCGAGCUUGCCUAGAUGAUUUUAGUGCUUGCACUAAAUGAAACUAGAUACAAGCUAGCGGCGGACGGGUGAGUAACACGUGGGUAACCUGCCCAAGAGACUGGGAUAACACCUGGAAACAGAUGCUAAUACCGGAUAACAACACUAGACGCAUGUCUAGAGUUUAAAAGAUGGUUCUGCUAUCACUCUUGGAUGGACCUGCGGUGCAUUAGCUAGUUGGUAAGGUAACGGCUUACCAAGGCAAUGAUGCAUAGCCGAGUUGAGAGACUGAUCGGCCACAUUGGGACUGAGACACGGCCCAAACUCCUACGGGAGGCAGCAGUAGGGAAUCUUCCACAAUGGACGCAAGUCUGAUGGAGCAACGCCGCGUGAGUGAAGAAGGGUUUCGGCUCGUAAAGCUCUGUUGGUAGUGAAGAAAGAUAGAGGUAGUAACUGGCCUUUAUUUGACGGUAAUUACCUAGAAAGUCACGGCUAACUACGUGCCAGCAGCCGCGGUAAUACGUAGGUGGCAAGCGUUGUCCGGAUUUAUUGGGCGUAAAGCGAGUGCAGGCGGUUCAAUAAGUCU
Molecule: ribosomal RNA, 622 nt
Filed under: uncultured bacterium
Lineage: Bacteria
Description: bacterial SSU rRNA
Rfam family: Bacterial small subunit ribosomal RNA
Source: RNAcentral